GAUCUGGCUCAGAUUGAACGCUGGCGGCGUGCUUAACACAUGCAAGUCGCGCGUGAAAGGACUUCGGUCCGAGUAAAGCGGCGCACGGGUGAGUAACGCGUGGAUGAUCUACCCAUGAGUUAGGAAUAACGGCUGGAAACGGUCGCUAAUACCAAAUACGCUCCGAUUUCGAACUUCGGGGGAAAGGUGGCCUCUGCUUGCAAGCUACUGCUCAUGGAUGAGUCCGCGUCCCAUUAGCUAGUUGGUGGGGUAACGGCCCACCAAGGCGACGAUGGGUAGCCGGUCUGAGAGGAUGACCGGCCACACUGGGACUGGAACACGGCCCAGACUCCUACGGGAGGCAGCAGUGGGGAAUAUUGCGCAAUGGGCGAAAGCCUGACGCAGCGACGCCGCGUGAGGGAAUGAAGGUCCUCGGAUCGUAAACCUCUGUCAGGAGGGAAGAACCGCCACGGUGCUAAUCAGCCGUGGUCUGACGGUACCUCCAAAGGAAGCACCGGCUAACUCCGUGCCAGCCGCCGC
This 519-nucleotide ribosomal RNA is filed under the name uncultured bacterium. Its description in RNAcentral is "bacterial SSU rRNA". It matches the Rfam family "Bacterial small subunit ribosomal RNA", at positions 15 to 518 of the family's 1533-position model. The record is from RNAcentral.